This 549-nucleotide ribosomal RNA is filed under the name uncultured Rhizophagus. RNAcentral describes it as "SSU rRNA". It matches the Rfam family "Eukaryotic small subunit ribosomal RNA", at positions 548 to 1098 of the family's 1831-position model. The record is from RNAcentral. Lineage: Eukaryota; Fungi; Glomeromycota; Glomeromycetes; Glomerales; Glomeraceae.
UUGGAGGGCAAGUCUGGUGCCAGCAGCCGCGGUAAUUCCAGCUCCAAUAGCGUAUAUUAAAGUUGUUGCAGUUAAAAAGCUCGUAGUUGAAUUUCGGGGUCAGUAGGUUGGUCAUGCCACUGGUAUGUACUGGUCUCACUGAUUCCUCCUUCCUGAUGAACUGUAAUGCCAUUAAUUUGGUGUUGCAGGGAAUCUGGACUGUUACUUUGAAAAAAUUAGAGUGUUUAAAGCAGGCUAACGCCUGAAUACAUUAGCAUGGAAUAAUGAAAUAGGACGUUCGAUCCUAUUUUGUUGGUUUCUAGGAUUGACGUAAUGAUUAAUAGGGAUAGUUGGGGGCAUUAGUAUUCAAUUGUCAGAGGUGAAAUUCUUGGAUUUAUUGAAGACUAACUACUGCGAAAGCAUUUGCCAAGGAUGUUUUCAUUAACCAAGAACGAAAGUUAGGGGAUCGAAGACGAUCAGAUACCGUCGUAGUCUUAACCAUAAACUAUGCCGACUAGGGAUCGGAUGAUGUUAAUUUUUUAAUGACUCAUUCGGCGCCUUACGGGAAAC